RNAcentral lists this ribosomal RNA (433 nucleotides) under uncultured bacterium. RNAcentral describes it as "partial 16S ribosomal RNA". It matches the Rfam family "Bacterial small subunit ribosomal RNA", at positions 29 to 507 of the family's 1533-position model. The record is from RNAcentral.
AACGAACGCUGGCGGCAUGCCUAACACAUGCAAGUCGAACGAGACCUUCGGGUCUAGUGGCGCACGGGUGCGUAACGCGUGGGAACCUGCCCUUAGGUUCGGAAUAACUCCCCGAAAGGGGUGCUAAUACCGGAUAAUGUCUUCGGACCAAAGCUUUAUCGCCUUUGGAUGGGCCCGCGUUGGAUUAGCUAGUUGGUAGGGUAAAAGCCUACCAAGGCGACGAUCCAUAGCUGGUCUGAGAGGAUGAUCAGCCACACUGGGACUGAGACACGGCCCAGACUCCUACGGGAGGCAGCAGUGGGGAAUAUUGGACAAUGGGCGAAAGCCUGAUCCAGCAAUGCCGCGUGAGUGAUGAAGGCCUUAGGGUUGUAAAGCUCUUUUACCCGGGAUGAUAAUGACAGUACCGGGAGAAUAAGCGCCGGCUAACUCCGUG